UCCCUUCCAGACCCUUCACCAUCCUUGUUGCUUCUCUUCUGGAUGGUCUCUAAUAGCUUCAUGUCAUUUUUAUAUUGUGGCACCCAAAACUGCCCCCAGCACUCAAGGUGAGGCUGCCCCAGUGCAGAGCAGAGCGGGACAAUCCCCUCCCUUGCCCGGCUGGCGAUGCUGUGCCUGAUGCCCCCCAGGACAGGGUUGGCCUUCUGGAAAACAGUUUCAUGAGCUCUCUUUCUAAAAUGACACUUUUUCAUUUUAUGCAGUUCAGACUGGUAUGUUCUGAUCUUUGGAAUUUAAAUCAGAUCUUUUUGAAAACAUACAUGAAAUUUUCAUUCAAUAAAACACACUAAAUGGAUGCUAGAAAUGUAUUAUAAAUUUAAAUUUUCAUUUCUAGCAUAUGAGAAUAUACUUUACUCAUAGAAGACAUUGCAGUCACUUCUAAAUUUGUGAAAAUUGACAAUGUGCUUGAAUUUGGUACCUUAUCAGAAUAAAGGGACAGAAGAAAGAAAAUGCAACCUGUGAAACAAAUGUCCUUCUAUCUCUUUAUGUAAAAAUAUAAGAUGAGGAUUCAGAUGAGGAUUAACAUUAAAAUCCUAGCUUGAUUCGUACCCCCUGUUUUCCUGAUCAAAGGAAAAUACCCUCAUUAAAUAGGCAGCAACCCUGGAGAUUUGCUCUUUCCAGCCCCUUGCUCCAUGUAUUUCUGGCAUUGCUGUGACCAGAAGACAUGAAAGCAUGAAGGCUACUCUAACUGAUACUCAACUAGUAAUAAGUAGUAAGAGAAGCUGCGAUUUUAAUUAAAAUUUAACUCUCAUCAACAAUCAGUAUCAGGUACUCACAGACAACAUCAAUCAAUCGAUCACUCAUAAUUGGUGUUAUUCUCAGCUAAUUGCUGUACAGUUCUCGAUGUAAAAAAUAAGCAGAUUCAUGAGAACAUGGAUGUUGUGGGAUGCCAACCAAUAAUCUUCCAGGGAAAUGGUGAAAAUAUUCAGUGGAGCAGUUCUACAAGUGAUGAUGGACACAAUAAUAAGUGGAAACAAUAAAAUUAAAAGCAGUGGGAUAAGAUUUGACCAUUAUCUGUAUAGAAACAUAGGCGGCUGUUUAGCAUGCCAUUCUCAUUGAGGCUCAGCAGUGACUUCUGACAGCAGAGAGGUUCAGAAUGUUACAUUUCUGGUAGGUCUUGACAAUUUUAAAAGUAUUUAUCUACCUUCAAAGGUAUCCAUUUUAUAUUAGUUCUAUUUAAGUCUUUUCUCCAUUGAUUGCAGUCUCACUGGCUCACACUAAAGAAGUGUAGUGCUUUGCAAUCAAAAUAUGGAGCCAUAAAAAGGUCAAAAUUACAAAUAAUUACAAUAAUUUGCAAAAUUACAUUAAAACUUCAAAUCCUGAUGACCUACUCAGUGAAAAAAUAAAUUGUAAUACUAAAUGUAAAAUGCACAACAGGAUUCCACUCUCUUGACAAGAGGCCCAAAAAGAUUUUCCAAAAUGAUCCCAUAAUUACAGAGUAAAAUGUAGUACAGAGUUUUAUGUAAGAGAAAAGUAAACUGGCAAAGUUGUUAAUUUAAAAGUCGAGAAAUAGAGUUAUGUUCCUGCACGACCCUGGAGAAACAAACUGUAAUUGACCCUUCCCUGAGAAAUUGGAGUGGACUAGGUGACCUCCAGAGGUCUCUUUUAGUUUCAUCUAUUCUGAGAUUUCAAAUACAGCCCCUCUGCACAAGAAUUAUAUAUUUUGAGUUAAUUACAAGGUUUCAUGCUAUUAUUUUCCCCAAGAAUCCCGACCUGUUCAAGAGACUGAUCUAAAGCUCAUUGAAGGCCACAGCAGUUUUUCCAAUGGACUUCAGUAUGCUCUAAAUAAAAUCCACAAUUCAUAUGAUGGAUGUUGUCUCUCAAAUGAGGGAAAUAGUCUGACUUUUGUUUUGAAAUAAUAAUUAUCACAGCAGUACAGAGCAAGACAGCAAGGAGUACAAUUGCUGUCAAUGCAAAUAUUAUUUAUCAACGGAUAGAACAUUAAACAAAUUAAUUAAUUUGUAGUUAAACAAUAUAUUAAAUACUUUUAAAAUUCAUUUCUCAGUAUGUGAAGCCUUGCAUUUAUAUCUGUAUUCAAUAUAUGACAUUAUCUGAUCUUCCCAUUGUGAAUCAGGGCUUGUUCUGCCUUACUACAGUAACAAUUUAAAAUAACUUCUUUACCUUCAACUGAACUAUUCCCAAUUUAUUCUGAUAUGAACUGGGCCAUAAUCAGGGAGGAAUCAGCUGCACUGUUAUCUCUGUCAUCCUGGUUUAGUGCAGAAAACAUGGAAGUUGGUCCUGGGAUUUGUUAAAGAUUUGCAGUGCUUUGAGCUGCCAACAGAGCAUUCAAUGCUGAAAAAGCUUUGCUUCUGUGGAAGGCAAAAAGGAAUUGCCUCUGUGAAAAUAAGGAACAAUAACGUAUUUAUUCUUUGAUAGCUGCUUAUUUUUUUACUUUGCCUUUUGAUUGUUUUGCUUACAUUACAGUUCUUUCUCUGCCCACUGUACUAAUGUGACAUCUGUUCCAUCUUUGGGGAUCCACCUCUGUCCAGAAAUUAUGUUUUUCCAUCAGUUUUUGUCUCUAUUAAAACACUAGUUUAAAUAAUAUUCAGUUAAAAAAAAAACACACCAAAAAGCCAAGGAAUUACGGAUUCUAGACUGCAGGAAACUGGGCAACUGGAGAGCAAUUACUGAGUCUUGAAAAAAAAUUCUUUACUGCAGAAUCCACAGUUUACUUUCUGGAUUUGAGUGAAAUUAAUUUGUUUUUAUCUUUUGGCUUUGUAGACAUUUUGUGGAAAGUCUGAGUGAAGUGUCAAAGGUAGAAGAAAGCACCUUAGCUUGCUUCAGACUCAUCUCCUUCUGUUUCCUAUGAUUCCUUACAUUGACUAAUUGAGCUUAGCUCAGCUCAGGUGUUCUUUGCAGAGAGACCAUUAAUCUGCCCUGUAACUUUGUAGUCAAAAGCAACAGACCCUCAAAGCCCGACUGUGGUCUCUGGCGGGUAUGUGGAGUGGAUCUGUAGUAAUGGGAGCAGCUGCUACUGAGUGCCACUUUCACAAAAAGCUGGCAUUUUCUGAGUUUGUCGACGACUUAAUUGACCAUUACAAAAGCCUUCGGAAAUAAGCUUAAUGCUACGUAGAAGCACCAAAAGUAUGUUAAAGCCUCAACUGAGGCAAUUUUUAAAAUUUCAAUGUGGUGAGGAGGCUGUGCAUCUUUUGCUAGAGGAUCAAGGCUUUUUUUCUUGGAAAAGAAUACAAGUUUUUGUCUUCAGGAUAUCGUGAAUCUAGAAGUAAUGAAAGUUUUAAGGCUAAUGGUCUUUUGUCUAGAGGGAAUAUAUUGUAUUUCUGUCUUGUAUAAACAACACUUAUAUGCCAGUUAUAUAAUAACUAAAAAUUUCUGACCAGAAGUGUCAAUGCUCGCUAGCUUAUCUCACUUCUGGAUAAAGAGAUUAAGAUACUGAAAUAGAAUUCCCUGAGUAGCAAUAAACUAAAAUUGCAUCACAUUUUAUUUUGAUGACACAUUGUAUUAUUUCAGUUGCCUUUUCACCUUCCUAGUGGAACAGUUGCCUUUGAAAGACUGAAUCAUAUGAUGAAAAGCAAGAAACAUAUGACCUCAGACAGAAGAUAGUUCAGAGUCAGAAAAAAUAAACAAGAAACCUCAUUUUUUAUGAAUUACAAACAAUAAACUAUUGCUGGUAUUAAAUAGUGUAAUCUUAACCUUGAACAUGUACAGAAUUCCAAGAAAACUAAGAGGUAGAAAAACUGGAAAAUGUAUUCGUAUUAACUUUUGAAUAAGUAAGUUCACAGGUCCACUGUAGUAUUUUAGCUUGCUGUCAAAACUGCAGCCAGAAACAGAGCUGUUAGCCCAGGAGCUACAGGAGCCUGCUAGCUCAUCUUUUGAUUUUGUUCCUAAAUGAAAUAACUUCUAUUACCAGGAAAAUUUAAGUCAAAUUUCUUAAAAUAAGAAGUGUUAAGUCUACAAUAGGAAAAAAUCAUGAGUUGUUUUCAAAGUGGUCUAGUAAUGGGUUAUAUUACUGGCACUUAUGCACUAUGUGUGAUACUUGCUCUGUGCCUGAUUUUGCAUCAUCAUGUCACAGCAACACCUUUGCAGAGACUUUCCAUUUGUAAGAAGAAAUAGGAGUGGAAAUGGCUAGAUACUGAUCUUCAGCAGCUCCCAACCUGUCCAAAACCUUCCCGAUGGAUUAAAAAAGUUCGAAAAUCGUCUUUACAUGGAUUGCAGCACAGUCUGUGUAAGGCUCUGAACUACAGAAUCAUUUAAGCUGGAAGGGACUUCCAGAGGUCACUUUAUUCAGCUCCUGCUGCUUCUUCAAAAGACAUGUCGUGUUCCGAUCUUGUACACACAGACAAACACUUUAGAGGUGACCAGCUAAUGUUGGAGCCACAGCCACCACUUCAGAGAGCACAGGGAACAUGGAGUUAAACACCUGCUAGUUUGACUGGGCUGGUUUGUGUCUAUUUUUCAUUUGCUCUGAGUGCCAGUCACCACUGUCUAACCUUGCUAUCAGAGUUACUGAUGGUGUUCCAGUCUCCUCCUAGGCUGCUGCCUCUGUUGGUCUCAGCCAGGACUCAGUCUGCCAGGAGGAGUGGGAGACAUGCAGGCCUCCUCAGCUGUGGCAGGCACUGCCCCACGGUGCCUGCAGGACCCAGACGAGGCAGGCAGGCAUCCAGCACUGGCCCCUGUGUUUGCUGCAGGAGCUGUUGCAUGACAAGAGUUUGGUAUUGAGGGAGCUAGAGGAGUGGCUUCUGUGAGAACCUGCCAAAAGAUUCCUCCAUGGGCAACAAAGCCAUUUCCAGCCAGCUCCAGGAUGGCCUUGCUGCUGGCCAAGGCCGAGCUCAUCAGCAAUGGUGGUAGUGCCUCUGGGAUAACAGAUUUAAGAAAGGGAGGGAUCUUCUGGCCAACAGCAGCCAGAGAGAGGAGUGAGACUAUGCAGGAGAAACAGCUCUGGAGACACCAAGGUCAGUGCAGAAGGAAGGGCAGGAAGCGCUCCAGGCACCAGAGCAGAGCUUCCCCUGCAGCCCGUGGUGCAGCCCGUGGUGAGGCAGGAUGUGACCCUCCAGUCUGUGGAGGUCCAUGGGGGAACAGAGAUCCAGCUGCAGCCUGUGGAGGACCCCACACUGGAGCAGGUGGAGGCCUGAAAGGGGCUGUGAUCCUGUGGGAAGCCCAGGCUGGAGCAGGGUCCUGGCAGGACCUGUGGCCCCACGGAGAGAGGAGCUCACACUGAGCAGGUUUGCUGGCAGGACCUGGGACCUCACGGAGUACCCACUCUGGAGCAGUGUGUUCCUGAAGGACUGCAUCCUGUGGAGGGACCGACACUGGAGCAGAAGAGCUACAACCCCUGGGAAGGACUUAUAUUUGAAAAGUUUGUGGAGGACUGUGUCCUGUUGGAGGGACCCCCACACUGGAGCAGAGGCAGAGUGAGGAGUCCUCCCCCUGAAAAGAAAAGAACGGCAGAGACAAUGUGUGAUGGAUUGACCACAGCCCCAAUUCCUCAUUCCCCUGCUCCACUGGAGAGAAGGCGAUAGACAAAAUCUGGACUGAAGUUAAACCUGGGAAGAAGGGAGGGGUGGAUGGUUUAAGAUUUAGUUUUUAUUUCUAUUCUGAUUUGAUUGGUAAUUU
This is a long non-coding RNA of Corvus hawaiiensis (hawaiian crow), 5628 nucleotides long. RefSeq lists it as uncharacterized. The record is from RefSeq and is a predicted model, not a curated record. NCBI's taxonomy places the organism in Eukaryota, Metazoa, Chordata, Aves, Passeriformes, Corvidae. The transcript is spliced from 3 exons.